GACGAACGCUGGCGGCGUGCUUAACACAUGCAAGUCGAACGGAAGGGCCUCUUUCGGGGGGUACUCGAGUGGCGAACGGGUGAGUAACACGUGAGUAACCUGCCCUUGACUUUGGGAUAACUUCAGGAAACUGGGGCUAAUACCGGAUAGGAGCUCCUGCUGCAUGGUGGGGGUUGGAAAGUUUCGGCGGUUGGGGAUGGACUCGCGGCUUAUCAGCUUGUUGGUGGGGUAGUGGCUUACCAAGGCUUUGACGGGUAGCCGGCCUGAGAGGGUGACCGGCCACAUUGGGACUGAGAUACGGCCCAGACUCCUACGGGAGGCAGCAGUGGGGAAUAUUGCACAAUGGGUGGAAGCCUGAUGCAGCAACGCCGUGUGCGGGAUGACGGCCUUCGGGUUGUAAACCGCUUUCGCUCAUGACGAAGCUUUGUGUGACGGUAGUGGGUAAAGAAGCACCGGCUAACUACGUGC
This 468-nucleotide ribosomal RNA is filed under the name uncultured bacterium. Its description in RNAcentral is "partial 16S ribosomal RNA". It matches the Rfam family "Bacterial small subunit ribosomal RNA", at positions 28 to 508 of the family's 1533-position model. The record is from RNAcentral.